CUUUCUCUUUGUGGGACCAUGUGUCAAGUAGGAGAAGCUGUGUGUGUGCUUAAAGGAUAUAUAGUGGUGGAUGCCUCAGAAAUUGAGUAGAUUUAUUCAUUAACACAGAUGAUGUAUGAUUGCCGUUUACUUUUAUCUAAAAUAUUGGUGGCUUAAUGUUGGGUUGUAAGAUAUGACUUUUAAAAGUUACACUAUGAUGAAGUGACUUUAAUUUAUUGUGGGACUGUGAUUUCUGUUUUUGUUUUAAACAACCAACGACAAAGGGUUUCCCAUUCUUGUACGCAUGGUUGACUCUCUUAAGGUGAUGGUGCACAAUUUGUAGUGGUUUGAGUCAAGUGCGUGUUGCUUUUCUAUUACACUUGUAGUGUUAUUGGUUUUGUGCU
Long non-coding RNA from Carassius carassius (crucian carp), 383 nucleotides. RefSeq lists it as uncharacterized. The record is from RefSeq and is a predicted model, not a curated record. The transcript is spliced from 3 exons. NCBI's taxonomy places the organism in Eukaryota, Metazoa, Chordata, Actinopteri, Cypriniformes, Cyprinidae.